Molecule: ribosomal RNA, 1243 nt
Filed under: metagenome
Description: bacterial LSU rRNA
Rfam family: Bacterial large subunit ribosomal RNA
Source: RNAcentral
UGAGUACGAGAUGCUACGGCAUCGAAGCAGUCUAUGUCAUACUUCCAAGAAAAGCUUGCAAUGUCAUAAACAAAUAAUGCCUGUACCAUAACCGACACAGGUGGGUAGGUAGAGUAUACUAAGGGGCGCGAGAUAACUCUCUCUAAGGAACUCGGCAAAAUGACUCCGUAACUUCGGGAGAAGGAGUGCCUUAUUUUUAUAAGGUUGCAAUAACAAGAUCCAAGCAACUGUUUACCAAAAACACAGGUCUCCGCUAAGUCGUAAGACGAUGUAUGGGGGCUGACGCCUGCCCAGUGCCAGAAGGUUAAAGAAGUUGGUUAGCAUUAGCGAAGCUGAUAACUGAAGCCCUGGUGAACGGCGGCCGUAACAAUAACGGUCCUAAGGUAGCGAAAUUCCUUGUCGGGUAAGUUCCGACCCGCACGAAAGGCGUAAUGAUUUGGAUACUGUCUCGGAGAGGGGCUCGGUGAAAUAGACUUGUCUGUGAAGAUGCGGACUACCUGCACCUGGACAGAAAGACCCUAUGAAGCUUUACUGUAACUUGAGAUUGAAAUUGGACUUUAUCUGCGCAGUAUAGGUGGGAGACGUUGAAAAUAUUCUUGCGGGAAUAUUGGAGUCAUCAGUGAGAUACCACUCUUAUAAUGUUAGAUUUCUAACUUUGUAUCAUUAUCUGGUCAAAGAACAGUUUCAGGCGGGCAGUUUGACUGGGGCGGUCGCCUCCCAAACGGUAACGGAGGCGCACAAAGGUUUCCUCUGAACGUGUAGAAAUCGUAUCUAGAGUGUAAAGGCAUAAGGAAGCUUGACUGUGAGACCUACAAGUCGAGCAGGGACGAAAGUCGGUCUUAGUGAUCUGACGGUGCUGAGUGGAAGGGCCGUCACUCAACGGAUAAAAGUUACUCUAGGGAUAACAGGCUGAUCUCCCCCAAGAGUUCACAUCGACGGGGAGGUUUGGCACCUCGAUGUCGGCUCAUCGCAUCCUGGGGCGGUAGUACGUCCCAAGGGUUGGGCUGUUCGCCCAUGAAAGCGGUACGCGAGCUGGGUUCAGAACGUCGUGAGACAGCUCGGUCCAUAUCCGGUGUAGGCGUUAGAAUAUUGAGAGGAGCCUUCUUUAGUACGAGAGGACCGAGAAGGACAUACCUCUGGUGUACCAGUUAUCGUGCCAACGGUAAACGCUGGGUAGCCAUGUAUGAGAGGAUAACCGCUGAAAGCAUCUAAGUGGGAAGCCCACCUCAAGAUAAGUAUUCUC